This 353-nucleotide long non-coding RNA is filed under the name Linum usitatissimum (flax). Its description in RNAcentral is "long non-coding RNA (LUSI_LNC008317)". The record is from RNAcentral. Lineage: Eukaryota; Viridiplantae; Streptophyta; Magnoliopsida; Malpighiales; Linaceae.
GCAUAUUGUGGAUGACACACGGCUUUCCCAAAAGCAACAAAUUCUUUUUAGCACUGAAGCUCUAUUUUUUUUUUUAGUUUUUUCUGUUAAAUUUGGUUACUUGAGGUGUUAAAGUACUAAGUUUAGCUCAUUGAUUUAAUAAUUUGUAUUUGCAGAAAGUUUUCCUUUAUCUCGAAAGCCAGAAAAGAACAACCAGUUAAAACCCAACAUCUCAACUUGCCCAACCCCCUUAGCCGGUUAGCCCUUACCCAACCCCCUUUUUUUUUUUUGGGUAUUCAACCUUCAAAUAUAUCGGAUAAUAAUUUAUAUUAAUACCCCAAAUUAUUAAAGACGCCAACUCUACAGCUGUUUUU